RNAcentral lists this unclassified non-coding RNA (517 nucleotides) under Fusarium sp. 3 RJ2014. Its description in RNAcentral is "sequence contains 18S rRNA gene, ITS1, 5.8S rRNA gene, ITS2, 28S rRNA gene". The stretch from base 207 to 360 matches the Rfam family "5.8S ribosomal RNA". The record is from RNAcentral. Lineage: Eukaryota; Fungi; Ascomycota; Sordariomycetes; Hypocreales; Nectriaceae.
AGGAAGUAAAAGUCGUAACAAGGUCUCCGUUGGUGAACCAGCGGAGGGAUCAUUACCGAGUUAUACAACUCAUCAACCCUGUGAACAUACCUAAACGUUGCCUCGGCGGGAACAGACGGCCCCGUGAAACGGGCCGCCCCCGCCAGAGGACCCCCUAACUCUGUUUCUAUAAUGUUUCUUCUGAGUAAAACAAGCAAAUAAAUUAAAACUUUCAACAACGGAUCUCUUGGCUCUGGCAUCGAUGAAGAACGCAGCGAAAUGCGAUAAGUAAUGUGAAUUGCAGAAUUCAGUGAAUCAUCGAAUCUUUGAACGCACAUUGCGCCCGCCAGUAUUCUGGCGGGCAUGCCUGUUCGAGCGUCAUUACAACCCUCAGGCCCCCGGGCCUGGCGUUGGGGAUCGGCGGAGCCCCCCGUGGGCACACGCCGUCCCCCAAAUACAGUGGCGGUCCCGCCGCAGCUUCCAUCGCGUAGUAGCUAACACCUCGCGACUGGAGAGCGGCGCGGCCACGCCGUAAAAC